AUUGCAGCAGGAGCAGGGGGCCUAUGAGAGCGCGCUCACUGCUCAUUCCCAUUUGCUCAAGUCCUGUUUGCAACUAGCCUCUGAGAAAGAGGGUGGGUUCAUUGGCAGUUUCACGUUGGAUAGACCAGGGUUCUAGACAGUCAUAUGAGCCUAAUAUCUUUCCUCAUGAUACUGCUUUGCCAGAAGAAUCACUGUUAUUAGAAGAUUCUGUGAUAUACCCUGAAAGUAUUAAGAUGUUUAAGAAGUUGAUGAAAAGCCUCAAAUAACUACAGUGCAGGUGGAGGAAUAGCCACAACAGUACACUGCUUGGAUGAGCAAUGUCUUAAUCCACCACUAAUGAUGGAGAGCACAUAGCUAAAUUAACUUGCCCCUCAAUGACCGCUGUCCUCAUAUCUUAAUCACUAUCUUUUAUAAGAACCUCUGAAUCUUCAAUUUCAGUUUCCCAAACAGUUACUGUUGCUACAUAAACUAGGAUACACAGAACAGUGUGUAUCUGCAUGUGAUUUGGAUGUGAUGCUUGGCACUUCUGCAGCCAUUCUGCCACCAAGGAGAGCCAGUUUGAAGACACACCUGCACAUGGCAGAUAGCAGAAUGGAAUGACAGUAAGAAUGUGGGUCUCCGAUGGUAAUUGAGCCACUGAAUCACCAACUCUAAAAGCUGUUCUUUAGACUUAUGUUAUGAAAAACAUUAAUUUUCCUUAUGCUUAUGGCAAUUUCCCAUCUGUCCCAAUUUAAAAAUUCCUUUUUAAAUCUAUGCAAUAUUGGGGCUUCCAUUCGAAAUACUCUCCAUACUCACUAUUAGGAAAUGUAUCUAAACAGCACUUAUCUUAAAAAUUCUAAAUAUUUUGACAUUAAACAUUUAAUCUGAAAUUCCUGGGUUUCUUGGUUCCACAGGACAGUGAUUCUCAAAGUACGAUCCCCACAUAAGCGACAUCACCUUCACUAGGGAACUUAACAGAAAGGCAGAUUCUCAAGCCUCGCCCCAGACUUGUUGAAUCAGAACUCCUUGGGAGCAGGCCCAGCAGUCUGUGUUUGAGUAAGUACUCCCAGUGAAUCUGAUGCAUUCUAAAAUUUAAGAGCCACUCCUGCAGGAAACACUACUUAUGACAUCAGGUACCAGGCAUCAUGACUCACAAUCAAAUGAAUGUUGAAUCAUCCAAAGUGGGUUAAAUAGGUACCAAGCUACCCUCUGUUUUCUAAACAAAGAAAGUAUUAUCCUAGAUGAAGAAAGGCAAGAUAGACAAACGAACAUUCAACAAGUUCUCAGACAAAAGCUUUCACAUCGCUCUUGUGUAGAGAUAAUAAGAAUAGUUGGUAGUGUCUGAAGAAAACAGAAGACCUGGGAAUAGCAAACUUGAGAAAGAAUGAGGUUGAGAGGACUAUUCCAAUUAGCCAGGAUAAGUUUUGUUCUGAUGAAAGUGAAAUUAAGGAGUUAUUGGAAGAGUGGAAUAAAGUAGGAAUUGUCAAAAAGGGGCAUGUAACUGGAUGAAAUAAAGCACUAGAUAAAUAUUCCUGAAAGGUGCGAAGUUUUGAACAGGGAACUUGAGAAGGGCCGGGGAAGUCUGAAGAGGCUUGGACUCCUGGACCCAAAGGAAGACGGAGGCUCGAGUGAGAGCUUACAGAACAGAAGGCACAGCUAGGAUGAAGCUGACAGGGAACGCUCAGGAUCUGGGCACAACUACUCUGCUGAUGGAAAAGGACUGAGCUUCCAGGACGUCCUCACUCCCGCCCUGAAUGCUGUGGAGCAAAAGGGAAAUGAGGAGAUGCCUACAGUCCAGGUGGGGAAAAGCAAAAAGAGAACACACAAGAAAUAAGCACCUGUCUCUGUGGUUAGACGUGUCAAUGACGAGAAACAAGAAGAUAUGGCAACAAGCUGGACAAGAAUCCUGAGAAGUUGUAAAUCAUUCUGAUCAUUCUCACCAAGAAGAGUUUGGCAAAUGGAUGUCUAAGCGUGGAGUUCUCCACCCGGCUGCCCAUUAGGAUCUCCCGGGAAACUCCUAGAUGCCACUUUAUGAAAACAGACUGAGCCCCACCCCAGACCAGUUGACACCGAAUCUUUGAAUAUAAGGCUUGGAUAUGCAUAUUUUUACAAAGCUCCUCCAAUAAUUCUGAUGCACAGUGAGGACUGAGGAUCAUUGUCUAAGAGUAUUGGAAAACAGUGAAACUAAGAAAAUCUAAGCCUAUAUGCACCAUGCAGUUUGUGAUUCCUUAUAAAAGGGAUAAAGAGGGAUGUGAGUGAACACAUGGAGAAAGAAUAUUAAUAAAUUGUGAAGGCCACUCUGACUUUUUCUUGUUCUACUAAUAUGGAAUUCUUAGCUUUCUAAUAAUAGAAAGGGAUGGCUAUUCUAUUUUGAGGACUGGCUCCAGGCUCAAACGGGCUUAUAUGGACAGGAGGUAAGAACACUUCCUUCUCUGGGUUAUAAUAGUCUUAGUAACAUUUUGGGGAAUGAGUUUGCACAAAUAAAGUCAGGGUCUGUGGUUCUCUGAAAAGUGCACUGGGGAAUAGAGAGAAGUACAGACAUACCCCAAGGACCUCGGAAUCCAUGGGGAGAUGUGACCUUCACAAAGGUGCCAAAUGAGCAGAACAGACAAUGGACAAGGAAAGUUCCAUGGAGCAGAGGGAACAUGGGUGACGACUUGGGCGCAGGCACCUAAGAUCAAGAGGGACAGAGAAGAGGUUUGGUGACAGAUACAUAGGAGGUGCUGCCUCUGACAUGUCUGUGCUGUCGAUGGCAACAAUGAAACACUGUGACCGAGCGAGAAUUGAGUAGUGCUGUUCUGGCCCUUCACUGGGAGAAGGGAGAAGCAGGUAUCGUUUGUUAUCCAUAUUUGCUUCAGAAACCAAUGCAUUUUCUCCCAUGACAUGUGUUUGGAUAUUUAUUAUUUGUUUGUCUAUGACGUGCCUCACAGGAGAAACGAGAAUAGUUAAGUUACUGAAUCAGAAAAUGUCAUCGCUUUUCUCAGCAACUCAUCUGAGCAGAUGGCAAAUGACUACUUUUAUGGCUUGUUUCUUUAUUACAUGUAGAAAUAUUUAUUAACAUUGUAUUUCUGUCGCAUGUGUGCAACCAGCAAGAAACCAAGUUAGGCAGCUGCCAGGGAGGCGGGAGGAAGGGAGAGUGAAUGGCGAUACGCUCUGGCUUUUGUCUUAGCAGGUGAGCAAGCCUCAGCCUGGGGGUGGGGAGCAAGGAACACCUACGUAUUCCUCUGAAGCCAAAAAAUGCUACGCAAGGCAACACCAACAGCCACCCAGAGCAACUGCCACCACAUAAUGCCAUGUUUCAUCAAGUUUGAGAUGUCCCCAUCACAAGAGGGAAACUAUUUUAUGUACCACGAAGAAAGCAAAAGCAUCCAAAAUGGGGAAUUGAACAGAGGGGGCCCCCCAUGAAGCUGGGGCACCAAAAAGCAACAGAGAAAUAAGCUCGCCAUGCAGAAAGGGCUGGUAGCGAGACGAGGGAGGAGGGAAUCUUCCCUGAGAAUUUGAACCUCAACCAGUACCGGGGUGGGUGUGCAUUUUGAAUUCCUGCCACCAGAGUGGUCCGAAUGCCCUCAGGCAGGGACUCUGACCCUUGGUCUCAGUUUGGUAGUGCCCCAAGUGACUGGCAGAGGCAAACUCUUGGAAAGCAGUGGACUUCAAUGGAGACUGUAAGAUGCAUCCCAAUUUCAGAUAUGUUAACGCAUAAAAAUACGUGCAUCUGGGAACAGAAACACAGGAACCCUCAUCUACCGUGAGGCCCAUCCCAGGAGUUAUUCAGGGUCUGCAGCCGAGAAUAAAAAAACCCAGGAAGAGGGUAAAACAGAAAUCAAAGUCCAAAAAGCAAGACAGGGGUCCAACAGGUGACCAAAGGCAGGGAAUGAAAGCACACGGGGGACAAGGCACUCAGGACUUGCAGCCAGGAGCAGGUCAGGACAAGCGGGCUGGAGCUGGGGCGAAGCCUCUGUCCACUUGUUUCUCUGGCUUCCAGAGCCAGGAAAGAACCUCUCCCAGCUUCAAUUCCUCACCAAUAAAAUGCAGAAAAUACUUUCUCUAGGAUUACUGAAGAAAUGAAAACAAGAAACUGUAUUUUAAAAGUGUUUUGUAUACUAUAAAAGCUCUGUGCCCAUAAUAAUUAGGCUUAUUUUUGAUAUAAAUAUUCUGAAAACUCCUUUAGUAAGAUCCUGUGUCUUCUACCUUUUCUUGUAAUUUUUCAUUUAGCAGAGGGCUGUGCACAAAUCAGGCACUUAAUAAAUCUUUACUCAGUGAAUAAAUAAACACCGCUAACUUCUGGCCCCGGCCCUACUUGGCCCUAAAUUCCUGAGGGUUGGUUACGAAGCCUGCAGAAAAUAGAAAGGGGAGAAAAGACAAAAACACCAGUUCAGAACAUGAUGUAUUUAUGCUUAAACAAGUACACAGAUCCCACACACCCACCCUUGGUCUCCCUGAAAUUCACAUCUACAACAAAACCGAAAUAUUAGCUGGGAUGACAUGAUGUUUUCACAGCAAAAGAUUGAAGGCAGGCUCCAGGAAGCAACUUUACAACGGAACCAAACAGAAUGGAAGACGGGCGACUUCAGAAUGGGAGGGUUGUUCAUUAUGGGCAAAAAUACCCUCGGCAUCAUCAAAGAGCAUCUUUGAGAGAAGAGACCAAUGUUUAGAUCUCCUGGAAUACCCUGACGUUUGCUGGUCAAACUUAUUAACAGGGAACAAUAGGAAAAGGAGGUUUCCUCGCCAAGGCACAAGCUUGAAUUGGAGGGGAGAGCAGGUCCCGGACUGGGAGUAAGAAUUGGGGGUCAAAGAUGAGGGCUUCCACCACCAACCUGAGUGAUGCUGGGUUCUCUAAGGGGACGUCAUGGUUUAGAGAGAAGAACAGGAGGGAGUGGAGACUGGGGUUUACCCAGGCUCUGUCUUCAUCUGUCACGUAACUCUGGGUAGACUUUCCAUAAAAUGAAGAGUAGGACAGGAUGAUCCAAGGAAAGAGCAAAUCAAAUAAACAAGAAUGAAAAAAGACAAAAAUAGCUACAUAGAACAGUAAAAGGAGUAAGUCUGAAAGAGAAGAGAUUGGGAAAAUGGGUUAACAUAUACAGAAUACAAGAAAUUAAAAGGGUGGUCCAGAAACUUGAACGGGAUCCAGGGAAGUUUCUUAAGUAAUUUAAGGAUGGGCACAAGAGGUUCAGGAUGAAAAUGAUAAUUUGGGGCAAGAGAGAGUGGUUAAACCGGGAAAUGAACUGAGUGGAAGGCGAUAUGAGCAGUCUAGAAAGAGGGCCAAAUUCUCAGCAUCUUCAAAUACACAGCAUCACCCUCAAACCAACACACUCAGGAGACAGAUCCUUUUAAAGCACUGGUCCACGUUUAGCCAAAGAGGCCUGAAACUUCUUUCCAUUCAUUUUAUUAUGAAGACUUGUUUGAGGAACUCUAUUUCAGGAUAUUUCUAUGGGGGCCAUUUUAGUUAACAAAACCAGGGAAAGGCAGAGAUGUGUCCAAAACACUACUUUAAAAAAAAUGAUUAAACAAUCUCAAUUCUGGUCUUUUCUAGGCAUUCUUUGCAGAAGCAGGCAAGGAGAAAUAUAGAAUUUGCACGACAGAUAACUAUCAGAAGACUCAAGACGCAAGUUUCCUGUGGACUAAGGGAAAAGAAAAAUGAAAACACGGAGGCUUGAGUCUUGCCCAGCUCUGCCUCCAGUUAAGGAGCUCCAACAUUAGCUUCAGGAGCUCCGGGAUGUUCAAAAAGGAAAGGAACCCAACAGGAGGCUUAAGCAACACCAGAGGUCCCUAAGACAAACCACAGCCACGUGGCAGAGCCUUUGGGUUUCUUCAUCCCCCGCGCCUGCACUGCACCCCUCCACUGGUGAGGGCAGAGCCCACACGUGAAGGUCAACAGCAAGAUUCCACGACGAGCAGCGCAGGAGCCCGCGAGCGAGCAGGCAGGGCUAGAGAGCGGGAUCUGAGCUGCAACUGCGGUGGGCUCUGCUUAGGAGAGGAGAGGGCAACUCAUGCUCUUGAUGAGAGAAAAAGAAAGAAGAAAUCAACUCUGGCUGGAGGAACAUCUACCAGGCAUGGGAAAAGAAGAAAGGGAUUAUCAUGGAGUUUCAGAUUUUUCAUCUCUAAUUGCCUAGAAUCUGUGUUCCCUGAAGAUUUAAGAACAGAGUAGAUUCACCAGUACCAAUGACUGAGGUCUAAGGCCUUUAAGAUUUUUUUCGGUAAUGGGCCACAUCGUCGGAAAUCCGUACGUGGACUCAGAUUCUUUGCUGUCAUGAUGACUUGACGAUUUCCAUCCUUGCCAGGUCAGUAUGGAAGUCAAACCCCACUCAAGUGCCCAUGGAGGCUUUGCUCCCACUUGUUUUACUAUGGUCAGUAAUGCUUCAUAAAGCUCGAGUUUAACGAUGUAAUUUUGGCAGAGCUAAUAUAAAAAAGUUCAAAAUUAUUAAUUUAUCUUUCAUUGCAAUUAGUAACCAUUCAGCCUGCGUAUAUGUUAUCUGACAGCUGUCAGUAGUUCAGUUACCCUUAUCAGAGG
This is a non-coding RNA of Equus caballus (horse), 6487 nucleotides long. NCBI's taxonomy places the organism in Eukaryota, Metazoa, Chordata, Mammalia, Perissodactyla, Equidae. The record is from RefSeq and is a predicted model, not a curated record.